RNAcentral lists this ribosomal RNA (468 nucleotides) under uncultured bacterium. Its description in RNAcentral is "partial 16S ribosomal RNA". It matches the Rfam family "Bacterial small subunit ribosomal RNA", at positions 28 to 507 of the family's 1533-position model. The record is from RNAcentral.
GACGAACGCUGGCGGCGUGCUUAACACAUGCAAGUCGAACGGAAAGGCCCUGCUUUUGCGGGGUGCUCGAGUGGCGAACGGGUGAGUAACACGUGAGUAACCUGCCCUUGACUUUGGGAUAACUUCAGGAAACUGGGGCUAAUACCGGAUAGGAGCUCCUGCUGCAUGGUGGGGGUUGGAAAGUUUCGGCGGUUGGGGAUGGACUCGCGGCUUAUCAGCUUGUUGGUGGGGUAGUGGCUUACCAAGGCUUUGACGGGUAGCCGGCCUGAGAGGGUGACCGGCCACAUUGGGACUGAGAUACGGCGCAGACUCCUACGGGAGGCAGCAGUGGGGAAUAUUGCACAAUGGGCGGAAGCCUGAUGCAGCAACGCCGCGUGCGGGAUGACGGCCUUCGGGUUGUAAACCGCUUUCGCCUGUGACGAAGCGUGAGUGACGGUAAUGGGUAAAGAAGCACCGGCUAACUACGUG